CAAAUUGCGGUGAAUACGUUCCCGGGUCUUGUACACACCGCCCGUCAAACCAUGAAAAGUGACCAACACCCGAAGUCCGAUUCGUCGGCCUAAGGGUGGGGGGGCAUGAUUGGGGUU
This 117-nucleotide ribosomal RNA is filed under the name uncultured bacterium. RNAcentral's name for it is "partial 16S ribosomal RNA". It matches the Rfam family "Bacterial small subunit ribosomal RNA", at positions 1353 to 1482 of the family's 1533-position model. The record is from RNAcentral.